Molecule: ribosomal RNA, 253 nt
Filed under: uncultured bacterium
Lineage: Bacteria
Description: partial 16S ribosomal RNA
Rfam family: Bacterial small subunit ribosomal RNA
Source: RNAcentral
UACAGAGGUCUCAAGCGUUGUUCGGAUUCAUUGGGCGUAAAGGGUGUGUAGGCGGCGCCGUAAGUCGGGUGUGAAAUUUCGGAGCUUAACUCCGAAACUGCAUUCGAUACUGCGGUGCUUGAGGACUGGAGAGGAGACUGGAAUUCAUGGUGUAGCAGUGAAAUGCGUAGAGAUCAUGAGGAAGACCAGUGGCGAAGGCGGGUCUCUGGACAGUUACUGACACUGAGACGCGAAGGCCAGGGGAGCAAACGGG